AAUCUCCUCACACCUGACUCUCCAUCCCCCUCACCCCUGACCUCUGACCUCUGACCCCCUCACCCCACCACCACCUCCCCCUUGCAUGUCACUGCUGUGGGCGCAGCAUGAAGCGAGCCAGCUCUCUGGGCGUUCUUAACGUGGCGGACAAGGCUGCGAGUGACCACUACCAAGAACGAAAUAAUCGUCUGAGAAAGAGUCGCGACCUGAGCGCCAGCCACACUGACCUGGCGCAUUGAAGGUUUUUUCCCGCCUGAACCCGAGGUGACGAUGAGCAGGAGCAGGAGAAUCGACCCUCCUCACUGUAAACUUCUGUGUGUGGACACUUUUAAUCUCUACAUUAUACUCACCGUUCAACCACCAAGUGCUCACUGUACAGGUUCCAUGCACUUUUGAAGGUUUGUGCUCUUAGAGGGGGUCAGCUGUGUUUUUAAAUCUUUACAUAUCGAGGAGCAAGAGAAUAUAUGAACAUACAGAGACCUGCUGUAUGUUUGUGACAUGAGUGUGUAUAUCUUUCCCCUGUAUAUCUUUUUAUAUGUGCUUGUACUGUACGUAGGAGUGAGCUAGUGUCAGAUCAGUCCUUUAUAAUAUUUAAUGCUAUGCUACGGCUUAAAUGAAGGCAAGUGCAGAGUGGAGUUUGAGUUUUACAAACACGUGUGUGGUGGAUGCAGAAAUGAUCUCAUUCAGUUAAGAUGUUGGAGGUGAAGACCAUUGACUGUAUGUAAACAUGGAGUGUCUCCAUCUCCCCCUAUGGCACAAAAGUGAAGCCAAAAUACUGCUGCAAUGUGGCGACGUAUUUCAGAGCCAUGGCAUAACGAUGUAUCUUGAUCACGCCCACGCUCACUCAUGAAUUCAUGAAGAAGAAGGAAAUCAAACCAACUGGAUAUUUUUGUCAGAGGCUCCAAAAAGUACAGAGACACAUAAAGGUAACGUGUGGUGAUGAAGUGGGCAACGUUUUGGACAACUUUAGAGGCAACACCUCCAGCAACAGGCAACAAAGUCACUGUAUGUGAUGAAAGGGUUUUGAAUUAAAAUAAAGGAAGUCCAAAAUAAUUUAAAUUUUUAAAACAAUGAUUAUUUACGGCUGAAUUUCUCUGGCUUUUAUUUUGGUAUUUAAAUAGGAAGGAGAAUUGUUAUUGGAAAGCAUUUAACUUUGAGUUAAGUUUCCAUGUAAAGUGUUGGGUGAUGUCAGAAGAAGAGAUACAGUUUGUCCUCUUAGUGUUUGAAGUUGCACUACUUUAAUGAAGUUUCUUGUUUGGGGUAAAACUGUUAAUUUUAGAGAUAAUUGGAGAGCGAUUCAGCCAAAGUCUCUUAUUUCUCCAUAUAUGAAAGUGUGUGUUAUGUUGUGUACAGUUUUCUGCAACGAGGUGUUCCUGCAUGUUUGAGGUUUUGUCAUGGACACUGAUGCCGGAUGUGAGAUGCUCAAACUGUAGUCCCUGAUGCUGGUUAUUAGAGAAGGAAAAACUGAGAAUCUUCUGACCAGAUUAUUAUUUACUAUUUUUGUAGCUUUCGUCUCUCACAAUUGCACAAACCAAAACUACGUCUUCACCCACUCAUCUUUAACUUAAUCAAUGAGCCAGUUCUGCAUCUGCAUUGUUUUAAAUCUUCCAACUCUGCCUUCAAACUGUCCAGUGAUGACGUCUUUUCAUAGGCUGACCUGGACGUUAGCUUAGCUUGGCGUUCACUCAGCAGAUUUCCAUAAAAGUUCUGAACAAGGCUUUGAGUUUUUGAAAAUGACGUCCUCAGGAUAGCAAAAAAAUGGACUUAAUGCUAACUUUUCUGUUUGAAACUUUGAGCAGAUUGUGAGACAGUUUAUUACCUUUAAAUCUGCUUUUAUUUAUAACCAAGCUUUGAGAUUAGAAGCACUGGAAACCUGCUGAGAGAACCAACAAACGCUCUGUGAGACUCGUCCCAAACGUUCCGUCCUGCGUUGGAUGAAGAUUUUUCUGAUGUAUGAAGUUUUACGUUUACAUUUUGGAGUUUUUGUAAAUGAUGUUUGAUUUGUUUCCGUCCUUUUUGCUGCUCUCUGUAUAUCUGUCUGUACAAAGCCUUGACAUCAGCAGCGCUGACUGAUGAUGCGACAGAGCGAUCAUUUAUUUGGCACAUAAAGACCGAGCGACACACUCAGGUUUCAGGCUUGUAGUUUCACACACUGACUGCAAAGUGUCACCACUCCACACUUUAACUCAUUAAAGCCAUCUUCAUCCUCAGUGGCCUUAGAGACGUUACACAGUUUGUGUUAACUUGUUAGACAAAACUUUACCAUGAGAGUAAAGUCGAACAAAUCCAACCAAAAACACAAAUUAUCGAUUGUUUUAAGAUCGUUAUUUUCAUGCAAAGAUUAUUCCUGAGAUUUAUCUUACAAAUGUAAAAAAUAUAUUUUCUAUCAUAGAAAAAAAAAGGAGUAUUCCUCUUAGAGCUAGUUAUGAAAUACAGAUAUUAUAAUAAAAAAACAUACUUCUUUACCAAUAAUCAUUUUUUAAUUAAACUGGAAUAAAUGUACUGAUCUCAGAAAAAUAGGAUUUAAUCAAAGAAUAAAAAUGUUUCCACCUUACUGCAGCUGGAUGAAACACCAGAAGACAAACAGUGUAAAUACUGAAGCAUGACUACAAAUAUGAUGUUAUGAUUUUAAACAUUAUCUUUCUUUGUGUUAAAAUAAAAGUUUUAAAAUGGACCUAAGUUUAAAGUUGUUAAUGAGAUUAAUUUAGGUUAAAUGAAAGUUUCUAUGCAUAAAUAAUAUUUUUAAAAGGGAAUGUAGUCAUUUAUCUUUUUUCCUUGUGAUAAGCUUGAACUUUUAUAUUCAACAGGAUAACAAUCAGAACCAGGGAUGAUCUGAAGUGACUUCUUUCGUUGUGUAAUCUUAAAUCUAAUUUCUGACUAAAUGAUGAGUUGAAAGGUCAGAGAGCACUUUGACAAAAAGUCAAACAUGAGCACAAUUUAUCCAACAUGACUGAACACGGGAUCACAAAGGCUGUUUUCGAAACCGCCGACUAUACUAGCAGUACGUACUGAUUUGGUCUAAAUUCAGUAAGUAGUAUGUGAGCAAGAGCAAAAUCUGCAGUAUACCAAAACUCCCUGGAUGUCUACGGAUUUGUGAAAAUUUCACAGUAUGCAUCAGACCAGUCUGCCUCACGUACUGUUUCCCAUAAUGCAAAGCGCUCAUUCCGCUUUUUCUUUUCUCUUCUUUUUUGACCGGGCGAACUCAGUUUUUAGGUGCUGUGAAAAUGAUUUAAUAACAUAUAAACCACUUCUUAACUUUUUAAAUCAUAAGUGAUGCUAAAGAAGCAGUUUCUCUAUCAGCUUGAUCGUUGUUUACUUCUGCAUUCUGAAACCGGAAAUCCAGUGAUGUCUGAUCCAGCAUCCUGCAACACAGAUCCAACAGAACAGUCAGACUACAGACUAAAUUCAAACACAGUAUGUAGCAGGCCGUUUCGAUAACAGCCGAAGUCUGCGGGUUAACCAUGUUGAAUUGGUUUGCCAAGUGUGGCUACCAUUAGCAGAGCUAGCACCACCAGCUUUGUUUCUCCUGGCAGGCCAAUGUCCACGUCUGUCAAAAUACCGACAAACCACGCCCUCAUAUUUGUUUUGGAAUGUGCAAUGAGCUUAAAAUUGAUUGUAGUCUCUUUUUUUUUAUGUCUUUCUGUCUUGAUUCUAAUUAAUCAACCAACCAAAAAAGAGUUUAUAUUCAAAAACAUUCAAAGAAUCAUCUCCCAAUAAGUGUACACGAUAUGAUCACGAAGCCCUGAGAUGAUUUGAUAACUUAAAUAACAUUCAUGAUUGUUCCCUCUGUGCCUGGACUGAUUUUUCAAACUCUUGCAUGUCUUUUAUUUUCUCUCUUCUCUGCAUCGCAUUGAUUUGAUCUGCUCUUUGUGGAGUGUGUUGAAGUUGUCCGCUGACUGUUGAUCAGUCUGCUCAUCAACUUGUUUUGUGCUUUUGAAAAAUAAAAAUUGUCAGAGGCUCCAAAAAAGUACCGAGGCACAUAAAGGUAACGUGUGGUGAUGAAGUGGGCAACAUUUUGGACAACUUUAGAGGCAACACCUCCAGCAACAGGCAACAAAGUCACUGUAUGUGAUGAAAGGGUUUUGAAUGAACGUACAGGAAGUCCAAAAUAAUUUAAAAUUUAAAAACAAUGAUUAUUUACGGCUGAAUUUCUCUGGCUUUUAUUUUGGUAUUUAAAUAGGAAGGAGAAUUGUUAUUGGAAAGCAUUUAACUUUGAGUUAAGUUUCCACUUUAUGUGUUGGAUGGUGAUUUAAUGGAGUUAAUUCUGAUUAAGUUGUCUUAAUAAGAGAUACAGUUUGUCCUCUUAGUGUUUGAAGUUGCACUACUUUAAUGAAGUUUCUUGUUUGGGGUAAAACUGUUAAUUUUAGAGAUAAUUGGAGAGCGAUUCAGCCAAAGUCUCUUAUUUCUCCAUAUAUGAAAGUGUGUGUUAUGUUGUGUACAGUUUUCUGCAACGAGGUGUUCCUGCAUGUUUGAGGUUUUGUCAUGGACACUGAUGCCGGAUGUGAGAUGCUCAAACUGUAGUCCCUGAUGCUGGUUAUUAGAGAAGGAAAAACUGAGACUCUUAUGACCAGAUUGUUGUUUACUAUUUUUGUAGGACUUAUGAUGACGUAAAUGUAAUAUUUUGGAUUUAUGGAAGUGCAGACAGAGAAGGAGAGACUUUGAUUCUUGUUAAAUCAUUGAAAGUUAAAGUUUCAGAGUUCAUCUUUUUGCAGCAGUUUCUAUUCUUACAUUUAAAUAUUAGGCUGUUAUGGAGCGAUGACGUGUUUCCAUAAAAUGUAUAAAACACAAAUGUUUACUAUAACUUUUCCCUUUUGUUUUUUACAAUAUGACACCAGUCCCUUUAUCACAUAUCAGGGGAAACUGAAGCAGCAUUGAUUGAACUUUUCCUCUUGAGCUAAUUGAAUCUAAGACACAUUGUAGUCUUAUAUUAUAUAAUCAGGGUGGUUGAAUGUAAUACUGCUGUACAUUGGUAGAAAUUUGAGGUAUUUUUUCUCAAUUAUUUGACUCAGGUACCUUCUUCAAUUGGACAACAGCUCUAUUUUACUUUCAACAGAGUCGUUUCACAGAUCGGUAUCAGUUCUUCUGAAACUUUUAUUUUGCAGGUUAAUUAAUUAAACAAGAUUGAUUGAUGACAUUGAUUGACAAGAUUGAUCAUCAGGCUCUGCACCCAUGCUUUUAUUUUGUGUCUUUAUAUUGCUCUAAUGACUUCAAGCUCCCUACAAGGCAGCAUUACAGCCCUUCAUUAAAAACAACACAAGAGAGAGGAAUCCUGGAUGAAACUGGCAUUUCUGUGAUACUACUUGUACUCUGUGACUGCUGCUGUCCCUGACAUGUACGCUUUGUUCAACUACACCUCCUCUCUACCUGAGCAAUAGUGAUGUUUGUCCUGCAAAUUAUUGUACAGCCUACUUGUAUUUGAAUAAAAUGUCCAAAUUCA
Notolabrus celidotus (New Zealand spotty) is the source of this 5437-nucleotide long non-coding RNA. RefSeq lists it as uncharacterized. The transcript is spliced from 2 exons. The record is from RefSeq and is a predicted model, not a curated record. Lineage: Eukaryota; Metazoa; Chordata; Actinopteri; Labriformes; Labridae.